Molecule: ribosomal RNA, 504 nt
Filed under: uncultured bacterium
Lineage: Bacteria
Description: bacterial SSU rRNA
Rfam family: Bacterial small subunit ribosomal RNA
Source: RNAcentral
GAUGAACGCUAGCGGCAGGCCUAAUACAUGCAAGUCGAACGGCAGCACGGGUAGCAAUAUCUGGUGGCGAGUGGCGCACGGGUGCGUAACGCGUAUGCAAUCUACCUUUAACUGGUGAAUAGCCCGAAGAAAUUCGGAUUAAUACACCAUAAUAUAUUAGAGUGGCAUCACUUUAAUAUUAAAACUACGGUGGUUAAAGAUGAGCAUGCGUGACAUUAGCUAGUUGGUGAGGUAAUGGCUCACCAAGGCUACGAUGUCUAGGGGAUCUGAGAGGAUUAACCCCCACACUGGUACUGAGACACGGACCAGACUCCUACGGGAGGCAGCAGUAAGGAAUAUUGGACAAUGGUGGCAACACUGAUCCAGCCAUGCCGCGUGAAGGAUGACGGCCCUAUGGGGUUGUAAAACUUCUUUUUGUACGGGAAAAAAACCUCUUUACGUGUAAAGAGCUGAUUGUACUGUAAGAAUAAGGAUCGGCUAACUCCGUGCCAGCAGCCGCGGUAA